RNAcentral lists this long non-coding RNA (372 nucleotides) under Ananas comosus (pineapple). Its description in RNAcentral is "long non-coding RNA (ACOM_LNC035633)". Lineage: Eukaryota; Viridiplantae; Streptophyta; Magnoliopsida; Poales; Bromeliaceae. The record is from RNAcentral.
AUUUUGGAUAAAUUUCAAGUAUCACUCCUAUAGUUUUGUGCUUUCUCACUUUAUUACUAUGCGCUUUAAAGUAUAUCACUUUAGUAUUCAGUGAUUUUAUUUGUCUCUUUUCGUCAUCACCUCCAUUAACUUUUUAUUAAAUCAUAUGCAAAAUAUUUCAGAUACUCCACCUACGAUUUAUCGAAUAUUCACUUUAAUAUUCUAUAAUUUACCGAAUUUUUACUUUAGUAUUCUGUGGUUUUAAUUUCGUCAUUGAUUUAGCGAAAAAAAUUAAUAGAGAAAAUAAUUUUUAAAAAAAAUCAUAAGAUACGAAAGUGAUAUAUUUUAAAUCACGGGAUAGUAUUUCUUUUAUUUUUCUGAGUUAGGAAAAAA